This 62-nucleotide microRNA precursor is filed under the name Euprymna scolopes. RNAcentral describes it as "Esc-Mir-12533_pre stem-loop". Lineage: Eukaryota; Metazoa; Mollusca; Cephalopoda; Sepiida; Sepiolidae. The record is from RNAcentral.
CUUUUCCAUUCGUCUGAGGUCAUUCAGAGUUUUGCCCGUGUAGCCCAGAAGUAUGGAAAGUC